AUUGCAGCUUUGGAUUUAUUCGCACCAAAAAAAUCCAGUCCAGUGGGCCUUUUUCUCUUACAAGUAAGACACAGACUUAGAACUUAGUAACUUGCUGGCGGUGAGGCAGCGAGUAAAUGUUUGAACAUGGUUCCUCCAACUUCAAAGGCCAAGCACUACCCUGUGCUACCUCCAGCAGAAGUUGGUUUUUACCAAGGCAAAGAAGAUAGGGUGGAUUUUCCUGAACAUAACAGAGUCGUGCCCAAUCUAUCUCCUAGUUUUCAAAACCUUUAACCGACCCUCCCUCCGCAGAGACCGGUGGGCUUCCCCGCCCUCCUACGGAUGAGAGCCACGCCCCCAGGAAAGGGGGUGGCUGGGAACCCUGCUAACCCUAGAGGGGUACCUUGGGUGCCAGGGCAACCGCCCGCCUUCAGGCCGUGCGGACAGGCAAGCGGCUCUGCCCCCACGUGCCGCGGACACAGCGGGCGUUGCGCACCGGUUUCGGCUGGAGGGCUGAGGAGGACCUGAAAGGGCUUCCAGAAGGAAAACUUCCGAGCGUGAAGCACAGAACAGUCCUUCCUCCUCCUCCGCUCCCGAAGCCCGUCUGGGAAGGCGCCGCGCCGGGGCCAGAGCCGCCUCCUGGGGGAUUCUGCCCUGGGGAGGUGGAGCUCAGCGGGGCCUCCCCGACCCUCGCUCUCGGGCGCUUCCAGCCUCCCGCGUAGGACUGAGGCCGCGCCCCAGGCGAGGUCCCAGACAGCGGCCUCCAGGGGGAGCCGCUCGGCGGGCGACCGAGAUGCGGUCAGCGGGGCGCGUGACCCGGGCCGCGAGCGGGAGGGUCUACCAGCAGGUCUUCCCCGCUGCGGGAGGGUCUACCAGCAGGUCUUCCCCGCUGCGGCAGGCACUGGCCCCCGGCCCCGCCUUCCUCCUUGUCUCCCGACUCCCCCUCCCCCCCCAGCGCCUCCUUCUCUGGUGCCCUUUUCUGCUCCUCCCAUCCCCACCCCAUACCCAAAUUCCCCUUGCUCUGAGGGCUUUCCUGGAGGGGAAGCCAAUUAAAUAAAGGAUUUUGACAUUGC
RNAcentral lists this long non-coding RNA (1052 nucleotides) under Dasypus novemcinctus (nine-banded armadillo). RNAcentral's name for it is "lncRNA (ENSDNOG00000051325.1)". The record is from RNAcentral. Lineage: Eukaryota; Metazoa; Chordata; Mammalia; Cingulata; Dasypodidae.